RNAcentral lists this ribosomal RNA (468 nucleotides) under uncultured bacterium. Its description in RNAcentral is "partial 16S ribosomal RNA". It matches the Rfam family "Bacterial small subunit ribosomal RNA", at positions 28 to 507 of the family's 1533-position model. The record is from RNAcentral.
GACGAACGCUGGCGGCGUGCUUAACACAUGCAAGUCGAACGGAAAGGCCCUGCUUUUGUGGGGUGCUCGAGUGGCGAACGGGUGAGUAACACGUGAGUAACCUGCCCUUGACUUUGGGAUAACUUCAGGAAACUGGGGCUAAUACCGGAUAGGAGCUCCUGCUGCAUGGUGGGGGUUGGAAAGUUUCGGCGGUUGGGGAUGGACUCGCGGCUUAUCAGCUUGUUGGUGGGGUAGUGGCUUACCAAGGCUUUGACGGGUAGCCGGCCUGAGAGGGGGACCGGCCACAUUGGGACUGAGGUACGGCGCAGACUGCUACGGGAGGCAGCAGUGGGGAAUAUUGCACAAUGGGCGGAAGCCUGAUGCAGCAACGCCGCGUGCGGGAUGACGGCCUUCGGGUUGUAAACCGCUUUCGCCUGUGACGAAGCGUGAGUGACGGUAAUGGGUAAAGAAGCACCGGCUAACUACGUG